UACGUAGGGGGCGAGCGUUGUCCGGAGUUACUGGGCGUAAAGCGCUUGUAGGCGGUCCACCAAGUUUGGGGUGACAGUUGCCGACUUAAUCGGCAAAGUGCCUCAAAGACUGGCGGACUUGAGGGCCACAGAGGGACAUGGAACUCCAGGUGUAGUGGUGAAAUUCGUAGAUAUUCGGAAGAACACCAGUGGCGAAGGCGACUUACUGGACACAUAUUGACGCUGAGGUGCGAAAGCGUGGGGAGCAAACAGG
RNAcentral lists this ribosomal RNA (253 nucleotides) under uncultured bacterium. RNAcentral describes it as "partial 16S ribosomal RNA". It matches the Rfam family "Bacterial small subunit ribosomal RNA", at positions 524 to 776 of the family's 1533-position model. The record is from RNAcentral.